RNAcentral lists this transfer RNA (73 nucleotides) under Patescibacteria group bacterium. RNAcentral describes it as "tRNA-Arg". It matches the Rfam family "tRNA". From Rfam's summary of the family: Transfer RNA (tRNA) molecules are approximately 80 nucleotides in length. Their secondary structure includes four short double-helical elements and three loops (D, anti-codon, and T loops). Further hydrogen bonds mediate the characteristic L-shaped molecular structure. tRNAs have two regions of fundamental functional importance: the anti-codon, which is responsible for specific mRNA codon recognition, and the 3' end, to which the tRNAs corresponding amino acid is attached (by aminoacyl-tRNA synthetases). tRNAs cope with the degeneracy of the genetic code in two manners: having more than one tRNA (with a specific anti-codon) for a particular amino acid; and 'wobble' base-pairing, i.e. permitting non-standard base-pairing at the 3rd anti-codon position. RNAcentral also lists the same sequence under 2 other names. The record is from RNAcentral.
GCCCCUGUAGCUUAAUUGGAUAAAGUACUAGGUUUCGGCCCUAGGAAUGUGGGUUCAAAUCCUGCCAGGGGCU